RNAcentral lists this transfer RNA (56 nucleotides) under Dictyocaulus viviparus (bovine lungworm). RNAcentral's name for it is "tRNA-Phe". Lineage: Eukaryota; Metazoa; Nematoda; Chromadorea; Rhabditida; Metastrongylidae. The record is from RNAcentral.
GUUUCUUUAGUUUAAUUAAAAAAUUUAAUUUUGAAAAAGUUAAGAUAGUUGGGACA